UACGUAGGGGGCAAGCGUUGUCCGGAUUUAUUGGGCGUAAAGAGCGUGUAGGCGGCCGCACAGGUCCGUUGUGAAAACUGGAGGCUUAACCUCCAGACGUCGAUGGAAACCGUGCGGCUAGAGUCCGGAAGAGGAGAAUGGAAUUCCUGGUGUAGCGGUGAAAUGCGCAGAUAUCAGGAAGAACACCCGUGGCUAAGGCGGUUCUCUAGUACGGUACUGACGCUGAGACGCGAAAGCGUGGGGACCAAACAGG
RNAcentral lists this ribosomal RNA (253 nucleotides) under uncultured bacterium. RNAcentral's name for it is "partial 16S ribosomal RNA". It matches the Rfam family "Bacterial small subunit ribosomal RNA", at positions 524 to 776 of the family's 1533-position model. The record is from RNAcentral.